AACCUCGGAUCAGGCAGGGAUACCCGCUGAACUUAA
Molecule: ribosomal RNA, 36 nt
Filed under: Megalospora tuberculosa
Lineage: Eukaryota; Fungi; Ascomycota; Lecanoromycetes; Teloschistales; Megalosporaceae
Description: partial 28S ribosomal RNA
Source: RNAcentral